This is a long non-coding RNA of Nannospalax galili (Upper Galilee mountains blind mole rat), 340 nucleotides long. RefSeq lists it as uncharacterized. The record is from RefSeq and is a predicted model, not a curated record. The transcript has 2 exons. Lineage: Eukaryota; Metazoa; Chordata; Mammalia; Rodentia; Spalacidae.
AGGAACCAUGUUGCAGAACUGGAAUUGAUACAAGAAUUGAGAUGAUACCAGAGUUUGGAUCUCCAGAACCCAGGUCUCCCCGGCCUUAAGGGAGAGCAAGGAGACAUGGUGGUGAUCAACUAUGAUGGCAGGAUCUUGGAUGUCCUGAAGGAAGGAGUGUUCCUGGUAGGCCCUGGAUGUGCCCUUGAUGUCCAUUCCUCAGGGAGUAAUGGCUCGCUUUGUAUAUUAUCCAAGGGGCUAAAGACAGCUUAGCACAGUAACCUCAAUUUCAUUAAGUGCCUGAAAUCAGUCCUGUUUGGAGACUACUGUGGCUGACCCAUGGAGCUCUGAGCUCCCCUGA